AACACCCCAAUUUUCAUAAACUUUUCAAACUAAAAUCUUGAAGAACUAAUAAUUAAAAAUAAAAUUCCUUGACUAUCAAAAUUUAAACUAAUUUAAAAUCAACUUGCUAAAACUAAAGUAGUAACAUGAAAAAAAAUAAAAAAUAAAACAAUAAAUUAAAACUUAACAAGUUCAACUUAAAUUUCUAUGGAAAUACUAAAUCUCUAGUCAUUCUCGACUUCCAUGGCCACCUCAACUCCAUAACUGCAAAACUGAGAAGAUAAGGGGUGAGCAUAUUGAAAAUAUACUCAGUGAGAAACCAUGCACAUAUUCACAUACGCUUAAACAUGCAAAUAAUUCACAUUGUCAUACACAUAUACUGAUAAUAUGAUGGGCGAACUGAGAGCCUCUGAACAUAUAUUUCAACAGGACUAAAUUUCUGAACAUGUAUUUCUACAUGGCUGAACAUGUAUUUCAACAUGGCUGAUUUUCUGAACAUGUAUUUCUACAUGGCUGAACAUGUAUUUCAACAUGGCUGAUUUUCUGAACAUGUAUUUCUACAUGGCUGAGCAAGUAUAAUGAAACAUGAACUAAGAGCAUAUAAAAACAUACAUGAAUAUAACCACAAGCAUAUAAUCCCUCACCUUAAUCGCUUUGAAAAACUUUACGAAUCAUUAUUGUUCAAACUAAAAACUCCUCUAUGCGAACAAACAACAAAAGAAAAGGAAUAAAAAAACAAAAGUGAUUCCUCCCCUAAGUCUACAUCUGCGCCCUUAUUUCUACUAGUUUUUGAGGAGUUGUAAUAAUCAUGACUCUUAUUUUGAGUAUAUCCCUUAAUGGGACAAACAAAACCAAUUAGAAAGAUAGAGUUUAGAAGUUUUAAUGUGAAUAGGAUUAUAGGAAACAUAAAUAAAAUUUCGUAAAUAUUUGCUAUUUAAAAAUCCACGAUCACCCAUAAAAAAAAUAGAUUAGUUGACUCAAAAGCAAAUUAAACUAGUUAGAUUAAUUCCAAACUCAUUCCCCCAUAUAAAAUAAAUUGGUAAAUUGUUAGUUAAAUAAUAUCAAAAAUUGCACAUACCUUAGAUUAGGCAUAACACGUAAGCUAAAAAAAAAACAAACUAAUAAUAUAUAUAUAUAUAUAUAUAUAUAUAUAUAAAGAAAUAGAUGUAAUCAAGUUCAUCUAAUUAGAUUAUGAAAAACUUACUCACACAUCAAUAAUAAUAAUAAUAAUAAUAAUAAUAAUAAUAAUAAUAAUAAUAAUAAUAUUAAUCUAGAUAAAAUUAAUGGUGCAUAUCUAUAUAUAUCAUGUAAUUAUUAAAAAUUAAAAUAUAAAAGAAAAUACUAGAAAUUCACUCUCAAUAAUAAAUCUAAAUAUUUGGGGUGUUACAACCUAUCCCACUUAAAAUAAAUUUCGUCCUCGAAAUUUCUAGUCACGUUUCUUGAAUUGUUAUAACUUGUUCUAUCAAAAUUGAACAUAAUAGUAGUAGAACGUAAAAGCAUCAUAAAAAAUAUCAUGUAAAACAUCAUAACGCCAUAUACUUGAACAAUUAAAACACAAACCUUGGAGUCGAUGCAGCGCAUGAGUUUUGAAUGACUAGGCUUGUUUAAUCUUUUAAAAGAAAAUCUUUUUUUUUUGAAAUACGAGUCUACAGGAAAGUAGACCCGCUCUGAUACCACUAUGUAACGCCCCAAUUUUCAUAAACUUUUCAAACUAAAAUCUUGAAGAACUAAUAAUUAAAAAUAAAAUUCCUUGACUAUCAAAAUUUAAACUAAUUUAAAAUCAACUUGCUAAAACUAAAGUAGUAACAUGAAAAAAAAUAAAAAAAUAAAACAAUAAAUUAAAACUUAACAAGUUCAACUUAAAUUUCUAUGGAAAUACUAAAUCUCUAGUCAUUCUCGACUUCCAUGGCCACCUCAACUCCAUAACUGCAAAACUGAGAAGAUAAGGGGUGAGCAUAUUGAAAAUAUACUCAGUGAGAAACCAUGCACAUAUUCACAUACGCUUAAACAUGCAAAUAAUUCACAUUGUCAUACACAUAUACUGAUAAUCUGAUGGGCGAACUGAGAGCCCCUGAACAUGUAUUUCAACAUGGCUAAAUUUCUGAACAUGUA
This 2091-nucleotide long non-coding RNA is filed under the name Salvia miltiorrhiza (redroot sage). RNAcentral describes it as "long non-coding RNA (SMIL_LNC001167)". The record is from RNAcentral. Lineage: Eukaryota; Viridiplantae; Streptophyta; Magnoliopsida; Lamiales; Lamiaceae.